GGGGGUAUAGCUCAGUGGUAGAGCAUUUGACUGCAGAUCAAGAGGUCGCCAGUUCAAAUCUGGCUGUCCUCU
Molecule: transfer RNA, 72 nt
Filed under: Pterocles gutturalis (yellow-throated sandgrouse)
Lineage: Eukaryota; Metazoa; Chordata; Aves; Pterocliformes; Pteroclidae
Rfam family: tRNA
About the family: Transfer RNA (tRNA) molecules are approximately 80 nucleotides in length. Their secondary structure includes four short double-helical elements and three loops (D, anti-codon, and T loops). Further hydrogen bonds mediate the characteristic L-shaped molecular structure. tRNAs have two regions of fundamental functional importance: the anti-codon, which is responsible for specific mRNA codon recognition, and the 3' end, to which the tRNAs corresponding amino acid is attached (by aminoacyl-tRNA synthetases). tRNAs cope with the degeneracy of the genetic code in two manners: having more than one tRNA (with a specific anti-codon) for a particular amino acid; and 'wobble' base-pairing, i.e. permitting non-standard base-pairing at the 3rd anti-codon position.
Source: Rfam by way of RNAcentral